CCCCUGUCCUCAUCUCUUCCUUUCCUCCUGCCCCAGAAUAUAUUUCUUAGGGAGCAGCUGGACUGAAAGUUAUGGAGGAGCUCAGUGGGUUUGGAGGGGGAGAGGGAGAGAAGCUCCCCUCAAAUGCCCUCUCAGUUAAGGUUUGUUCUUUAAAUAUCCCACGUUUGUGCUAGAAGUGUUACAACAAAGUAGGCAAUGUGUUUUGUCUACAGACUAACCUGUGCACAUAGUUUCGCGUUAGCGUCCUUUCAUUCCUUCUAGAUAAUCUGUUACUGCUAUUAAUAGAAACAUACGCAACCUUCCUGGUGACCGAAAUUGCCUGGAGAUAACAAGAGGUUUUCUCGUUGUGCCUGGAACUUUUUGGUUGGGCGUUUUUUUGGGUGUUGGGCUGGCAACGGUGGAGCAAAGGCCUAGUGCAGCAGGCGAAGGCUUGUUCUGCUGGUGGAGCCACUGGAGGCCUGUGUGAGGAAUGCCCCUUGCUUUCCAGGACAUGACCUGGAUGCACCCCAAUACAGGGUACAGUCUGGUGGUUAUGAUAUGCAGUGCCUGCUGACAAACCAAGAAGCUGUUUUGAUGACCCGUUGUGCAAAGAAACCUGUCUGCAGGCCGUAUGUCUGUGUGAUUACAAAAGUGGAGCAUUUCUUAUCCCCAGUGUUAAGUGGAACCAGUCUGGCUGAGCUGAGUAGAAACGCAGUGACUAGUGCUGGGGCCGUUACUGGCUGUGUAUGGGGAGGCAUCCUCUGGAGAUGGAUCGGGCAGAACAAGCAAACCAUGACAUUCAGCCGUUACGUCUGCAAGCAGAUCUGCGGCUACUUCCUGCAGUUGUCCAUGGUGUUUCUCAUUGGGUACUUGUUGAAAGACCAUUUGUGUGCUCCAAUAUAGAGAGCAAGUACUUUACACUAAGGCAUCGCUGUGAGAAUUUGGUGUGAUCAGAGAGGAGAGACCUGUUUAUUCACCAGGACAUCUUGGAAGAUGGGCUCCAAUUCAGAUUUCCUGUAUGAAUUGGAAAAAAAACACAAAACAUGUAUUCAUCAAGAUAAGGGCAUUUCAGCAAGAUACAGGUCAAGUUCCUAAGAAGUCUGGAAAUUUGGACUUUAGUCUCUCCCUGCCUAAGUUCCCCACAUGAAAAUCUUGCUUUGUCCACCAUGAAUUUGGUCCUUGACUGACUGCCAGUGUUUCACAGUGAACAUCAGCUCCUGCACAGAGGUGAUGAUUCGUUUUGAAGAAUCCCCGGGGUCAUUUUGAAGUUCUGUAUGAUGGCAGAGCUGUUUGCAAGACUGUAUUUAGACAGUGCAUCUUGAAGCUGAACGGGUAGAGGGAAGCACCUAAUGCCUAGGUUGACACGUGCUGCUCCACGCACCAGCUGCUCUGAGGCUAAAGCAGAGAGACCUGAUGGUCUGGAGACCUUACGUCAUCUCCAAGGAAGGUGAGAGGGUGGUGGUGCCUCUGGCUGUGGGCCUUGCCCCGAAUUUGUGCAGAGCUCACCCACAAUUCAGCCUGCUGUUAAUUUCCAUGUGAAGAAAUUUGAUUUUGUCAUAGAGCUGAUGGACGUGACCCACACAUCCUGCCAUAAUUUUUAAACAAAUGUAUAGGCUCGCCUAUUGAAGGAAGGCAGUACCUCCUGCUUGUUGAGGUGCACAGGGUGUUAAAGGGCUGACAUGCAGAGAGCUUGCCCUGCUAAUGGAUUGGGAUUUUUAUAGACAGAAGGGAUAUGCUGUAGUCGGAGUGGUAAAUCUGUAAUGACAGACGUUUGUUCUAUAUUUGUGAAUGACCUGAUUUGGCAUGCAUGCAGUUCAUUCUCCUGACAAUAAUGGAAACAUGGUGUGAGACAGACAGAGAAAUAAAGCUGUGGUUAAACUGAAGCUACA
This is a long non-coding RNA of Anser brachyrhynchus (Pink-footed goose), 1868 nucleotides long. NCBI's taxonomy places the organism in Eukaryota, Metazoa, Chordata, Aves, Anseriformes, Anatidae. The record is from Ensembl.